GCUUUUGUUAUAGUUUCACUGAAACAAAUAUUUAAAUAUCAGAAUUUUUUAAGAAUUCAUAGAUUUCUCCAUUUUUGUAAGAAUUUUUAGAGACUAUUUUUAUUUAUUUUCUAUUUUUAGAUUAAAAAAUCAUGUGAUUCUGUCACUGUGUCACAAGCACAAAAGUUACCAAAAUGACAGAGAGUGAAAAGAAGCCACUGUUAGGGUCUUCUGACGAAGAAGAAGAGAAACUUACAGGAUGUGGAAAAACACUUUGCUGCAAUCCGUUCAGAUUUUUACACAGAUAUCUGAUUUUGAUUAUCAUGUGUUUCUUAAGCUUUGGUUUGUAUAUAUUUUUAUAUUGUGUUACUGUGUAACUUGUAAGUGUUUUGAAGUACAAUGCUCACAUAUUAUGUUUUUUUUCUAUUUCUUGCUCAGAUGCUUACAGCAAGUUAACAAUGGAAAAUAGUGGCAUAUCCAGACAUUUGCCAGAGGGGGGCGAAGAAGUUUGUAUGCCCCUCUUAACUUGCACUUUUUUCAUAAGACUAAGAUUGCAUACACCUUAUCGCUAAUCCCGGCUGACCCGGCCGCUUGAACUUUUGACGCAUACAACAAUCACUUUUCCAUUGUGGCGUCAGAUAUUUUGUAUUGUGACGUCAAAAUUUUACGGGAACCUGUGUGAUAUCCAGUAAUGGCGGACAAAUAGCGAUAAGGUGUAUUAACUUUGCCAUUACCCCUAUAUUUCAUGCGACAAUUUGUUACUCAUAAAGAUAUUUAAUUAUUCGCUCAUAUUAACAUAAUAGUGAAUAUGCCACGGAGGACCAGUACAUUGUAAAAACGUCACUAUGUCAUUUUGAAAAUCAAAUACUAGUAACACAUUGCUAAGGCUGAGGAUGACAAGUAUAACAUGUAACACCUUCAAAGCUACAAAGGAUAUAGCAAGGAUGUAUUGAUUCCUAUUUCACAAUUCCAUCCAACAGAAGGUAAUACUUUCCUACACUUACAUGACUUACAUGAUGAAAAAAAGUUCCACAGCUAGGAUUUUUACAUACAAAAACAUGUUUAACCCUACUGCCCAGCCCAUUAUAAUUAAUAAUAUUGCUGAAUAAUGAUCCCAACUUAGUUAUCUCUAGAUAAAUAAAAGUCUAAGGUACGGACCAUUUGAUUGUCGGGGAGGUCAGAUAUUUUAAGGAAGAGAAAUUCUGGACCUGUUUUUGCUUUUAAAAAAAUCUAGCUGUACCUGGGUUGAAAACAAUAAUCGUGCCUACUUAUUUGUUAUUUAGAAAAAAACAUUUCCAACAAAAUUAUUGAGCAUUAACUGUAUAAAAAAUAAGUACUCGAAUUUUUUUUUUUUUUUUUUUUUUGGGGGGGGGGGGGGGGAGGUGUCAAUGUCAAAACUCUUGUUGAUAUUUGAAUAACUAUUCUUGGGUUUCUUAAUGUUUUUAUAGAGUUUAGACUAAAGAGAGGGUAGAAAACAGAAUGUCUGUUUUGUUGAACUGGUAUACUGAGUACAUUUUUUCAAGGAAUGACUGCAACCUGCCUGCUGGUUGUUGCCUUUAGGUCUCCAUUUCUCGACUGUCCUUCACAACUUUAUUGUCAUUUCAGGCUCAUUCAUAGCCUUUCGUUGAUUUGGAACCACUGACUUUCCUUGUUGAGUGAAACAUUUCAACCAUACAUUUGGAUAGAAAUUGGUUUUUUUUUUUUCUUAUCAUGUCAUUUUUUUGUAAAUUUCAUUGAAUGGCUGUAUAUUUUGUUUAGAUUCUUUAUGAUUACAAGAUUUAUAAAACCAUCUUUAUAGAUACAUUGUAGGUAGAAUGAAGCUCUAAAACACUAUCAAUAUAUGUGUGCAAUGUAAUUGUGCUAACAUUGCUGUUUGAAAUUGCAGAGAUAUUCUUUUAAUUUCUUUUUAGGCAGCUACUUUUGCUAUGACAACCCAGCUGCCUUGCAAGACACCAUGAUAAAAGAUCUGAAGAUAUCUGAAAGUGCUUUUAUGGGAUUUUAUUCCUGGUACUCAUGGCCAAAUGUAAUACUUUGUUUCUUUGGAGGUUUCUUAAUUGACAAAACGUUUGGAGUACGACUUGGGGCAAUUAUUUUCAGUCUGUUUGUUACAGCUGGUCAGGUAAAUACUGGUUGUUCAUGAUAUCUAUAGGGAAAUAAAGCAUUGUCAUAAAUACCUGUGUUGAUGUUGCAUUUUUAUAAAAGAACAUUUAACAAAUGAUUGCAUUUUUUUUUUUUAGAUAGUUUUUAAAAUUGUCAAUAUUUCUAUUGUUUUACUGUUUAUAUAUAAUUCUUUUGUAGAAAUUCCAAUAGGGAACAUAUUCUGUAGUAAUUUUUAAGCCAUUCAUAAGAGGUUUUGAGCACUGGCCUUCUUCUGUUUCUUUCUUGUCUAAAUGAUAGGAAAAAGUGACUUGUCUACCAUCACUGAUGGAUAAUUAUAUAAAGAAACUGAAGAAGGCCAGAAACUUCUUUAUUACAAUGAUAGAAAAAUGACAGUACAUGCAAAAUAUGUUUAUAAAGAAAAGAAAAUAUAUAUCCCUGUACAUUAUAGUUUAUGUAUUUUGAUAUGGGUGUUGCAUCACUUACACUGGUUUUCUUUUUAUAGUAAAAUUUAAAAGAAGUAAAAUCUGACUAAAUUGUGUGGCUAUAUAUUAAUCACUUUUUAGUACUUGUCACACACAUGAUUCAUUCAACUUGAAAGUUUAAGUGAUCUGGUUUAAUUGAAGAUGUUUGUGAUCUAACACAGGACUAAUCAUAUAUUUUGAAUAGGAUUGUACACAAGCAAUUGAAAAAAAAUGUUUUUAACAAGAAAAAUAAAUUGAUAUUCUUGAUACAUACAUGUAUUUUUGUUUUAAAUUAAAUUGCAAUACAAUUAUUAUAUUUUUGUGUUUUAGGUUGUGUUUGCAUUAGGGGCAUUAAUUAAUAAAGUGUGGUUGAUGGAUGUCGGAAGAUUUAUUUUUGGGUAUGUGUAUUUUUUGUGUCACCUUGACAAAUCAAAAUAGCGAUACUAAAUGGAGAGAAAGCCAAUUUUUUUUUUUAUGUGAUAGUGAUGCUACACAGUGAUUGUACAGAGGCGAGGCAUAUCUCUGUUUUAACCGUUAUUAACAUUUAUAUUUGAUGAUAAAUCAUGACUAAUUAAUUAAUAACCAUUUUAGACUUUAAUGCUAUUAUGAAAGAUUAGAUGAAAUGCAAGCAAGUGACCUUCACAUUUUACACCUUGCCAAGAAAGUGACAAUUUGCGGAUUAUAGAUAUAGAUUAUGGUCUGCAAAUUGUCCAAAAAUAUUAUUAUAAGGACCAUAAGAGCUAUGGUCUCGCAACCUCCACAGUCUCAGAUGUUAAGAUACACCAGAAAUCUUACUCUUUAAUUGAAUUUGAAGGUAACCUAUUGUGGAGCUAAAUCUCUUCCCCAUCUGAUAUUCCAAAUCCAGUAAAAAUAUGAUUGCCCUUAUUUAUAGUCAAACUUCAUUAUUUAAAGAAGUUGUCGCUAGAUGUUUUAAGCAAUCAACUAAUGUGGUAUUGAUUGAUUUACAAUUGGUGAAUAAGUAGUGACAGAUAUGAUGAAUUCCUUAGCCUCUGAAGAUCACUUGAGAGAAUAUAUCAACAAUGUAUCUAGCACAUUUAUUAUAUAGAAACUUGGAGUAUCCAUUAAUUAGGAUAAAAUUUAUUAAUUUUGCUUCAAAAAGUUAAAAAAUAGUUUAAAGGGAAUGUAUAAGCACAUUAAAAUAUUAAGUACAAAUUUGGUUAUAGAAUUGGUGGUGAAUCAUUAGCUGUUGCACAAAAUACAUAUGCAGUGAAAUGGUUUCAAGGGAGAGAACUUAACAUGGUGUUUGGAUUACAACUUAGUUUUUCUCGUGUGGUAGGUAUAUUUUUUUCAAUAUUCAAACUGAGACAUAUUCAGAGAAAAAUUUUGAUAACAUUUAAGUUAUUUAGUAUUUUACUAGUUACUGAUUUCUGAUCAUAGAUAUCCUGUCCUUUAGAUUGAUUGAACUCAUUGGCAUGAAGUAUCAUGCUAUGUCGAGAGCAUCAUGCUGAUAGAUUGACUUAGUAUUUUAUUGAUAACUUUUACAGACAGUCUGGGAUGUAAUUUUUAAUCGAAAUAAAUGUGUAAGCCUUCUUGGACAGCAGCUAAUCUUCAAGAUCAAGGUAUAGCAUUUGAAGGAACAUUUUUUUUAAAUUUUGUAUCUUGCUGAUAAAUGGAGUAACUUUGCUGGAUUAUGCUAACAUUGUCCUCCCCAUGGCAUUGAAAGCAGAGUGGUACUGUGGUGCUAUAUUAUUUACCAUGGUGUUAUGUUGGAUAAUUUUAUAAUAGAAUAUAUAGGGGCCAUGGUGCUAUAUUUGGAAAACCAGUACUAUGUUAAUGUCCAUGGUGCUACUUGAAAAAAAUCUUGUGGAGAACACAGGCUUAUUUAUCUCACUUGCUUUUAUGCCACUCUAUAUACAUGAUAUAAGUAUAUAUGUAAUGAAAAAAGCAAAUUAUAUUAAGAACAAUGGAGUAACUUUAGACAAAAUUACACUUUUAAACUGACUUCACAUUCCUUAUCACAAAAACCAAAUGCCACAAAAAACAGUACAUAACAAAACUGAUAUUACAAAUCAAUUAAGACCCAAAACAAUUUUUGAAUUAAUGGUGCUUCUGAAUUUUUGAUAAAUUUUCAGGGCAGUACAGUGAAUAUGAACAUCAUGCAGCCCAUUUAUAAGUUUGUCAGCAACAGUGGACAUAAAGGAUAUGAAUGUUUAGGCAUUGUUUUAUUUAUAGGUAUGUAUAAUUAUUGUAUAGAAUUUAUUAUAUGUACAUAUAUAUUUUAUAUGCAAAUAAUUUAGGAAUGAAAUGAAGAGGUUCACAAAAACAUGCAAAAUAAAUUAAAUACACAAUGUAUAUAAAGAUAAGGAGAUGUGGUAUGAUUGCACAUGAGACAACUAUUCACUAGAGACCAGCUGAUACAAAUGUCGGCAACGAUGGGUCACCUUAAGGCCUUGAACAAUGAGUAAGGUAUGUUCUGUAUAUAAUCAACUAUAAAAGUCCCCAAAGUGACAAAAUAUGAAAAAGUUCUAACAAGAAAACCAACUGCCUGAUAUAUGACAAAACAAACAAUAAAAAAUAUGACAGACAAACAAUGACAACCACUAAAUAACUGGCUCAUGCCUUGGGAUUACCAUGACAUAACUUAGUCCUGAAUGUAACUAACAUAAAGAUAGAGAUCAAUUCAGCAUUCUAUAUAUUUUUACACUUAUCUUUUCAGGUGGAAUAAUUUGUAUCUUAUCACUCAUAUGUGCAUUAGCUUUAGGAUAUUUUGACAAAAGAGCAGACAGAAUAUUACAAAGAAAACAGCUUACAUCAGGUAAGUAAGAUUUAAAAAGAUAUUUCUGUAAAAAUAUUUUGUCCUGAAGGAAGGUUAGAAAACCUGAUAUUCCAAACCCAUCUUUUAAUUUAUGGUAAUAUAAUACAAAAAGCAAACAAUGUUAAGGUAGUUAUUGUAAAUAAUUGUGUUCAGUAUUAUUGAGGAUUCAUAUCAGUUCAUUCAUUUUUAAAGUUUUUUUUCUUCAUUGAAAUUUUGUAUUUUGAACACUAUAAAAUUUUAUAGAGAGCAAUUUUAAAGAGCUUUGAAUGCAAUAUACUGUGGAUUCAUUAUUAUUUGUUGGAUAACAAUUUUCUUAAGUUUCAUGGGUACAGGUGAACCAGGAAUUCAAAUGUUCAACAAUUACAAUCUUUCUAUAGGCCUUGUAUACAGAGAUUGGGAAAACCACAAAAUUAAAUAUCCAUGAAAAAUGCCAGUUUUCCUCAAUCCACGAAAAUUGAAACCUAAGAAAAUAAAUGACUCCACAGUAGUAACUUUGUAAUACCAUAUAUUGACAUCUUUAGUUUUCUGUCUCUCUCAUGUUUACCCUAUUUCUCCUGUUAUUUAGUUUAGGCAGGUAUAUAGUAAAUAUGUCUCAAUUUUUGGACAAACAAUUGUUGUAAUUAAUACUGGAUUAUUAUUUUUAUUUACAGAAGAAACAAUAAGAAUAACAGAUGUAAAAGAUUUUCCUGCUACUAUGUGGUUGUUAUGUAUUAUAUGUGUCAUGUACUAUGUAGCAGUAUUUCCAUUCAUAGGCUUGGGUUUGUAAGUAUUACAAUACCUUUCCUUAUAUGAAGGUGAAUUUUGAGGAUUUGUUUGCACAUCUGGUUAAUGAGACUGAUAAGUUAUUGCCAUUACUUGAUGUUUAUAGUCAUCAUUGUCCAUCUUGAAGAUAUAAUAAUUGAUACAUUGAUGGACAUUUAAGAAAUUAUGAAUAUAUUAACAGAAACUGUAAGCAGCAUAAAUGAUCAGUAAUUCAUGAUGGACAGAAAUAUCAAAAUGACUGAAAUCAUUUCUUGACUUCUGAACAGUUUUUAUGCGUCAAUGCUCUUAGAUGAUGGUUUUAAACCAAUUCUUUUGUAAACACAUAUUAUUAUGAAAACUGUAGACAACAAAAAUAAAAUAAAUCUCAAAUAUCAUACAAGUGCCAUGUUAGUGAUCCAGGCUCUAAGUAGCCUCUAGUUCAUGAUUUUAGGAUAGUUCAGUGUUUAACUUAUAUGUGCUAUUUACUCAUGUUGUGUUUUAUCAUGGUUAUGCUACAUUUAAGAUUUUAUUUUCUACAGUCCAAAUUCAUCCAAAGGAAAUUUAUUUUCAAAUUUAUUAAAGGGAGACAAUUCUGGUUUUGUCAAAAAGACUGAAUUUAUUGUUUUACCUUUGUCCAUAUUUGGGUUGUUUUUUUGGAGGAUGUGUCUUUUUUACACUUCAAUUACUAUUAAACACAUAUUUUUAUGGGUUGUUAAAAUAUUUUUCAUUGAAUUGUAUGAGUUUUUCACCAUUCUAUAUUUAUGACUAACACAAAAAAAAGAAAAACCGAAAAAUCUCAAAAUAAAAAAUGAAAAACAAUUCUCAACUUGAUAUAAGUAUUCUUCAUUUGAAAAAUAUUAUAUGUAUUUUUCAGAGUAUUUUUUGAAAUGAAAUGGGAUUUUGAUCCUAGUCUAGCAAAUAAUGUGAACAGGUAUGUAACGUAAAGUCUGUUGUAAAUUUAUGUUUAUUGCUUAACUUUACUCUUAUGAACAUCAAAUAUUUUUAUGAAAUGCCUUCACAAGUUAGUUAUUGUCUCUUCUAUGAUGAAUUUUUACUGAAUGCAAAGCAUUCAAAUCUUACUCCUGUGAUGAAAACCUUUUGAAUUAAUUGUAUAAAGUUUUGCAUCUCAGACUAGAAAAUCUAGAUAAUCCAUAUCUGAAAUCCAGAGGCUCUAUCUCCUUUAACUACAGUAAAUUUUCUAAUACUAUUAGUAAUAAAUCUAUAUAACUGUGUUUGCUCUAUUUCAGUUUAGUAUACAUCAUAUCUGCUGUAGCUUCACCAGUGUUUGGAUUUCUGAUAGAUAAAACUGGGAGAAAUGUAUUCUGGGUAAUUCUUGGUACUACAGUAACCAUUGGUUGUCAUGCUUUAUUAGCAUUCACAUUUGUUAACCCAUAUGUUGCUAUGGUAAGUUUUUAUGCCCCACCUACGAUAGUAGAGGGGCAUUAUGUUUUCUGGUCUGUGCCUCCGUUCGUCUGUCCGUCCCUCUGUGCCUCCCUUCGUCCGUCCGCUUCAGGUUAAAGUUUUUGGUCAAGGUAGUUUUUGAAGAAGUUGAAGUCCAAUCAACUUGAAACUUGGUACACUUGUUCCCCGUGAUAUGAUCUUUCUAAUUUUAAUGCCAAAUUAUAGUUUUGACCCCAAUUUCAUGGUCCACUGAACAUAGAAAAUGAUAGUGCAAAGUUCAGGUUAAAGUUUUUGGUCAAGGUAGUUUUUGAUGAAGUUAAAGUUACAUCAACUUGAAACUUAGUACACAUGUUCCCUAGGAUAUGAUCUUUCUUAUUUUAAAUCCAAAUUAAAGUUUUGACCCCAAUUUCACGGUCCACUGAACAUAGAAAAUGAUAGUGCGAGUGAGGCAUUCGUGUACUAUGGACACAUUCUUGUUUUUAAUCAUUUACAAAAAUGGAUGGAUAAAAAUUGUUCAGAAUUAUUUCUUUCAAUGAGGAUGAAAAACAUCAGAAACUAAGCUUAUAUUAUAUGAUAUUUUUUUAAUAUAUUUGUUUAAAAAAAGAAUAUUUGAAAUGCAUGAAUUAGAUGAACAUAAAAUCAACAAUUUGUAAAAUACUAUAUAGUAACCUGAGCAACCACAGUUAUCGAUUAUAAUGAUAGUACAAGUUGAAGAAUCCAUAAAGAAUGAUGUCAUAUAAAAGAGUGGUCAAAGAUACAAAUGGGACAUUCAAACUCAUAAGUUGUAAAUAAACUGAACACCAUGGCCAAAAAACAAAAAAACCUGAAAGAAAUACAUUAGUUUACAAAACAAAACACUAAAGGCUGAACAAAAUCAACCCCAACAAAAAUCUCAGAUUCUCCAGUAGGGUGAACAAAUCCUACUACAUAUGUGGCACCAGUCUUAUUGCUGCAGUAAGUUCAAACCUGGAGAUAAGUCUAAUUCUGUAGGCCCCUUUUAGUUAUAUUUCUGCUCUCAAACUUUAAAUAAUGACUUGUUUUAUAUUUUCUUCACAGAUUACAAUGGGAUUUUCUUAUUCUGUCUUAGCCAGUGCUUUAUGGCCAAUAGCAGCACAGAUAGUGCCUAACAAUCAACUAGGAACAGCUUAUGGAAUGUAAGAUCAUUUUCAUGUCGUUAAUUGGUCUCAAUUUGUCAUAUACUAGGUGUUCCAGGGUGAUUGAAUACUAGUUGUCAUAGUAAAACAAUUCAAUUGUCAGGAUUUUUUGUUUGUGGCAAAGUUUACUGCUACAUUCCUAUUUUUGUCAUUAUUUGAUUUAUUGCCCUUUUUAAAUUAUUACAAGGCAGUUCAUAUGAUUGUGAUAAUUUUCCCACAGUUCAGUUAUGAUUUGAACAUUGAUUGAUUGAUUUGUUUUUAAUUUUAGUUUUAAGUUUAUGGAUUGUGACUGCAAAUCUUGUAACUUUCAGACAUUUGUGAUGUUAAAUUAUUGAAUGUGAACUUGAUGUUUUUUUGUAAUUUGUAAAUUUAUUGAAUAUAUGUAAAACUAAUAUCCCUGUUAAUUUUCAUUUCAGUUGAGAAAUGUCUUGAUAAAAGGAAAUUAUUAACUGAAAUUAACAUAAAAAAAAGUGAUGGAUUUUAGAAUAAGAACUAAUAAGUUAUGUUUAAUUUUGAAUGUGACACAUCUUCUGAUUGGCUGACGUCAUUUUGUUUAUCAUAUCAUAGACACAAUUUUGUCAUGUGACCAUGACGUCAUCUAAGUUUUUUCAUGAAUUACGCCAGUUUAAAAUGGAAUUUAGUAUUAAAUUAUAAGAAAUAACUGUAAUAUUUUGUCAGUCUAUUCAAAAUAACAUAAAAAAUGUGGUGCACAUAGUUAAAUAACCUGCUACGAGAGUUAUUCAGUGUGCAACACAUUUUUUAUGUUAUUUCUUCAUAGACAGAAAAAUAUUACACCUCAUUCCUUAAAUAAUAGCUAGCGAUGUGAAUGACAUCAGUUUCAUAUUUUUUAUAUUUCCCUACAGGGUAUUCAGCAUUUAAUGUCAAAACAAUUACACAAUUUUUUUGGUUCAAAUAGUUUUGGGUUAGGUACAAAAUGUUUGAUUAAUGUAAGAAAAUGAUUUAUUUAUAUUAUAGAAUGCAAGCUAUACAGAAUUUAGGAUUAGCAGUAGUAGCUAUUAUAGCUGGUGCCAUAGUAGAUUCUAAAGGAUAUCUAGUGUUAGAAGUCUUCUUUCUUGUCUGUCUCUGUGGUAAGUUUGUACCUAGCAGUAGUGGCUAUUAUAGCUGGUGCCAUAGUAGAUUCUAAAGGAUAUCUAGUGUUAGAAGUCUUCUUUCUUGUCUGUCUCUGUGGUAAGUUUGUACGGAGCAGUAGUGGCUAUUAUAGCUGGUGCCAUAGUAGAUUCUAAAGGAUAUCUAGUGUUAGAAGUCUUCUUUCUUGUCUCUGUGGUAAGUUUGUACGGAGCAGUAGUGGCUAUUAUAGCUGGUGCCAUAGUAGAUUCUAAAGGAUAUCUAGUGUUAGAAGUCUUCUUUCUUGUCUGUCUCUGUGGUAAGUUUGUACGGAGCAGUAGUGGCUAUUAUAGCUGGUGCCAUAGUAGAUUCUAAAGGAUAUCUAGUGUUAGAAGUCUUCUUUCUUGUCUGUCUCUGUGGUAAGUUUGUACGCAGCAGUAGUGGCUAUUAUAGCUGGUGCCAUAGUAGAUUCUAAAGGAUAUCUAGUGUUAGAAGUCUUCUUUCUUGUCUGUCUCUGUGGUAAGUUUGUACCUAGCAGUAGUGGCUAUUAUAGCUGGUGCCAUAGUAGAUUCUAAAGGAUAUCUUCUAGUGUUAGAAGUCUUCUUUCUUGUCUGUCUCUGUGGUAAGUUUGUACCUAGCAGUAGUGGCUAUUAUAGCUGGUGCCAUAGUAGAUUCUAAAGGAUAUCUAGUGUUAGAAGUCUUCUUUCUUGUCUGUCUCGGUGGUAAGUUUGUACGGAGCAGUAGUGGCUAUUAUAGCUGGUGCCAUAGUAGAUUCUAAAGGAUAUCUAGUGUUAGAAGUCUUCUUUCUUGUCUGUCUCUGUGGUAAGUUUGUACCUAGCAGUAGUGGCUAUUAUAGCUGGUGCAAUAUUAAAUUCUAAAGGAUAUCUAGUGUUAGAAGUCUUCUUUCUUGUCUGUCUCUGUGGUAAGUUUGUACUAAGCAGUAGUGGCUAUUAUAGCUGGUGCAAUAGAAGAUUCUAAAGGAUAUCUAGUGUUAGAAGUCUUCUUUCUCAUUUGUCUCUGUGAUAAGUUUGUACCUAGCAGUAGUGGCUAUUAUAGCUGGUGCCAUAGUAGAUUCUAAAGGAUAUCUAGUGUUAGAAGUCUUCUUGUCUGUCUCUGUGGUAAGUUUUGUACGGAGCAGUAGUGGCUAUUAUAGCUGGUGCCAUAGUAGAUUCUAAAGGAUAUCUAGUGUUAGAAGUCUUCUUUCUUGUUGUCUCUGUGGUAAGUUUGUACGGAGCAGUAGUGGCUAUUAUAGCUGGUGCCAUAGUAGAUUCUAAAGGAUAUCUAGUGUUAGAAGUCUUCUUUCUUGUCUGUCUCUGUGGUAAGUUUGUACGGAGCAGUAGUGGCUAUUAUAGCUGGUGCCAUAGUAGAUUCUAAAGGAUAUCUAGUGUUAGAAGUCUUCUUUCUUGUCUGUCUCUGUGGUAAGUUUGUACGGAGCAGUAGUGGCUAUUAUAGCUGGUGCCAUAGUAGAUUCUAAAGGAUAUCUAGUGUUAGAAGUCUUCUUUCUUGUCUGUCUCUGUGGUAAGUUUGUACGGAGCAGUAGUGGCUAUUAUAGCUGGUGCCACAGUAGAUUCUAAAGGAUAUUCUAGUGUUAGAAGUCUUCUUUCUUGUCUGUCUCUGUGGUAAGUUUGUACCUAGCAGUAGUGGCUAUUAUAGCUGGUGCAAUAGUAGAUUCUAAAGGAUAUCUAGUGUUAGAAGUCUUCUUUCUUGUCUGUCUCUGUGGUAAGUUUGUACGCAGCAGUAGUGGCUAUUAUAGCUGGUGCCAUAGUAGAUUCUAAAGGAUAUCUAGUGUUAGAAGUCUUCUUUCUUGUCUGUCUCUGUGGUAAGUUUGUACCUAGCAGUAGUGGCUAUUAUAGCUGGUGCCAUAGUAGAUUCUAAAGGAUAUCUAGUGUUAGAAGUCUUCUUUCUUGUCUGUCUCUGUGGUAAGUUUGUACCUAGCAGUAGUGGCUAUUAUAGCUGGUGCCAUAGUAGAUUCUAAAGGAUAUCUAGUGUUAGAAAUCUUCUUUCUUGUCUGUCUCUGUGGUAAGUUUGUACGGAGCAGUAGUGGCUAUUAUAGCUGGUGCCAUAGUAGAUUCUAAAGGAUAUCUAGUGUUAGAAGUCUUCUUUCUUGUCUGUCUCUGUGGUAAGUUUGUACCUAGCAGUAGUGGCUAUUAUAGCUGGUGCAAUAUUAAAUUCUAAAGGAUAUCUAGUGUUAGAAGUCUUCUUUCUUGUCUGUCUCUGUGGUAAGUUUGUACUAAGCAGUAGUGGCUAUUAUAGCUGGUGCAAUAGAAGAUUCUAAAGGAUAUCUAGUGUUAGAAGUCUUCUUUCUCGUUUGUCUCUGUGAUAAGUUUGUACCUAGCAGUAGUGGCUAUUAUAGCUGGUGCCAUAGUAGAUUCUAAAGGAUAUCUAGUGUUAGAAGUCUUCUUUCUCGUUUGUCUCUGUGAUAAGUUUGUACUUAGCAGUAGUGGCUAUUAUAGCUGUUGCAAUAGUAGAUUCUAAAGGAUAUCUAGUGUUAGAACUCUUCUUUCUUGUCUGUCUCUGUCGUAAGUUUGUACUUAGCAGUAGUGGCUAUUAUAGCUGGUGUCAUAGUAGAUUCUACAGGAUAUCUAGUGUUAGAACUCUUCUUUCUUGUCUGUCUCUGGGGUAAGUCUUUUUUUGAGUAACUCAUAGUAUUUUGAAAUAUAUGCUUUAGAUUUUCAAACUUUUUCCAUAUAUUGCAAAACUGGAAAAUCUGGCAAAAUAGUAUCACAUUGAGAGUAAGUCAUUACAGGUAUAAUUACCAAUUAGACAAUAUUCCACCAGAGACCUAAUGACAUAAAAGUUAACAACUAUAGGUCACUGUUUGGCCUUUAAAGGUAAGCAAAACUCAUAUGCACAGUCAGCUUGUAAAAGCCCUGAAGCAACAAAUGUAAAACAAGUCAAACAAGAAAACCAACUGCCUAAUCUGUGUACAAAACAUUUGACAAAAAACAAAUAUGGUAUACAGUAACAGACGACAACAACUGAAUCACAGGCUCCCAACUUGAAAGAGACCAAAACAAAAGUGUGGUGGGGUUAAAUAUGUUUGCAGGCUUUCAACCCUCCCCUUAUCAUUGACAGUAGUGUAAUAGCACAACAUAUGAACAAACUAUGAAAUCAGUUGAAAAUGGCUAAACUCAUCAGAUAGAUUCAAAGCAGAAAAACAAAUAACAGAAAAAUAGACCAGAAGUGGCAGAGUAUUUAUAUACCUCCAUUAAAAAAAGACCAUAAGCACAGAUCUGAGAUUACUCACAGUUACUGACAGCUAGUUCAAAGCAAAUAACAACUUACAAAACAAUCAUUUUAUUUAAGACUAAAAUAUCAAUCAGUACACAUCCAACAUCCAAUGGAUUUAGUAAAAAGAAGUUAUAAACACUCAGAGAAAAACCUGACCUUUUGCAAUGCUAAAUUAUAAGUAAAUAGAAUUAAAAAAAACUAUGUGUAUAUUGGCAGUUUAGGUCAAAUAUAGAUAUAAGAAGAUGUGGUAUGAGUGGCAUUUAGACAACUCUCCAUCCAAGUCACAUUUUGUAAAAAUAAACCAUUUUAGGUCAAAGUGCAGCCUUCAACAUGGAGCUCUGGCUCUCAUCUAACAGCAAGCUAUGAAGGGCCAAAUAUGCCAAUUUACACUUGUCAUGGCAUCCCUGUGACAUCACAGCUAACAGUUCUGUUCAAAAGUGUCAAGUUCAUAUUAAAAGAACUAACAUAGUUGUGGAAUGUUUGGAUAUUUUUUUCAAUUUCAGGGUUAAAAAUAUUGCUUUUAUAAUAUCUUCUUCUUUUCUUUAUUUUCAGUUGCUUUGAUAGCUUCUGUAUUGUUAUAUCUCUUAGAUGCUUCAAAAGGUAGGAAACAUUUUUUGAUUUACAAAAUCUGCAGUUCAACUUGUUUUUUUUAAGAUUUUUGGUUUAAGUAAAACAGGAAAAACCUCAAUGAUGUUUAGUUACACUCUACACACUCACAUUCUACAACUUUUCUACUGCCAUAUAUUUUAAGAAUCUGACAGAAAAGAAGAAUUUUAAGUCCAGCCAUUUUUUUUUCUCAUGUCAACCGAUUAUUUUAAUAAAAUUUACAGUUGACAUUCAUAUUUAUUUGUCAACACACGUAAUAAAUUAAAGGUGAUAUUGUGUAUACGACAAUAAGACAGAGACUCAUUUAUAGAAAUAAAACAAGAGCCAUUUAGAGGUGAACUGUCUUCGACAAUGUACAAUUGUCUAUACAAGGUGUCAAUAAUUGGUGAAUACAUUUAUUAGAGACUAUCAAAAUUCCUAUGAAUUGAAUUUACUUAAGGACAACAAAAAAAUUAAGAUAUCACUUCCAUACAACCACACACACUGUUCGGCCAAGACUUAUUUAAAAGAGAUGGAUGAUGUCUUUUCUUUUAAAACAAGAAUUAGAGAAAAAUAGAAAAAGACAUGGAAAUGUGAGAAUGAAAAUGUAGGCUGUUUUCUGAAUUUUGCAAAUUAAGAAUAUGUCAGAAAACAAGAAUACAUCUGAAAAUUAAUAACAUUUUAAACAUUAAUUUUUCGUUAUAGACUGCACUCAGCUUAGGAAAGUGCUGAAUUUGAACAUGCCUAGAAUAUUUAUUCUGACUAGUUUAGACACAUGCAAUAACAUUUUAAUCUUUUGACAGGUGGAAAAUUAAAUAUGAGUGCUAAAUUACGUCAAAUAAUGAAGGAAGAAGCAGACAGAGAAAAGGAAAAAGAAGAGUAAGUAAUUUUAUAUGGAAAAGAAAUUAUUUUACACUGAGCGUUAAAUAUGUUCAAAUAUGUUCAAAUUUAAUGCCUACCCAUAUUAAAAUGAGCAUAGAAAAUGACAUAAAGGAAUUAUUUCAAUUCCAAUAGGACACAUACUAUAUUUUUAUAGGUUGAAACGUACAGAAAUACCUCAAAAAUAUUUGGCUGCUCCCAUUUCCCCUCAUGAAUUUUUGAAGGUUUCAUUUUCACAUUUAAUAAAUUUAAAAACUAAUAGUAGGGAAAAUAUAUGAUGUUUCGAUAAUAAUUUUUUUAAAAUAGACUUUUAUAUAAGCAGCUACAAUAUGUACUAUUUACUAAAAAAAAAAGGAAAAUAACAAGUAAGUUUGUGCACAUGUAUCAAAUAUAUUUUGUGCUAAUUAGAACACAAUGAAAUAAGUAUGUCAUAUAAGAAUCAACAAUAUGCCAGUAUCUUUAUUAUAUAUAAGCUUUAAGAUUUUCAUUCAACACUGUCUGCCUUCAAGAAAAAUGGUGUUAAUCCUGAAGAAGUUUUAUAUUUCUGAAAUUUCUAUAAAAGUAUGAUAUAUUGAUACCUUCAAUUGCCCCAUAUGAUUUCGGUCUAAGCAACUGUUCGUAAAUCCAUCUGUCCUGCUUCAGGUUAAAGUUUUUGGUCAAGGUAGAUUUUGAUGAAGUUGAAGUGAAAUUAACUUGAAACUUAGUACACAUAUUCCCUAUGAUAAGAUAUUUCUAAUUUUAUUGCCAAGUUAAGAGUUUUGUCCCCAAUUUCAUGGUCCACUGAACAUAGGCAACUAUAUUGUGAUUUGGGCAUCAGUAUACUAUGAACACAUUCUUGUAGCAGAAAGCUCGACAUAGGGAUAUUGAUCCGGUGGCGGCUACGGUGGCAGCGGCGGUGUUAGCUCACUUCUUAAAAGCUAUAUAUUUUAGAAGGUGGAAGACCUGGAUGCUUCAUGUUUUGUAUAUAGAUGCCUCAUGUUACGAAGUUUCUGUCAGUCACAUGUCCAUUGUCUUUGAUCUCAUUUUCAUGGUUCAGUGACCACUUGAAAAAAAAGUUCAAAUUUUUUGUAAUGUUGAAUUCUCUCUUACUCUAAGUAAUAGGAUAACUAUAUUUGGUAUGUGCGUACCUUGCAAGGUCCUCAUGCCCGUCAGACAGUUUUCACUUGACCUCGACCUCAUUUCAUGGAUCAGUGAACCAAGGUUAAGUUUUCGGUGUAUGGAAGGACUGUUAGGUGUACAUGUCCAGCUGGCAGGUGUCAUCUGACCUUGACCUCAUUUUCAUGGUUCAGUGGUUAUAGUUAAGUUUUUGUGUUUUGGUCUGUUUUUCUCAUACUUUAUGCAAUAGGUUUUACUAUAUUUGUUGUAUGAAUGAUUGUUAAGGUGUACAUGUCUAGCUGGCAGAUGUCAUCUGACCUUGACCUCAUUUUCAUGGUUCAGUGUUCAAAGUUAAGUUUUUGAGUUUUGGUCUUUUUAUCUAAUACUAUAUGUCAUAGGUCAACUAUAUUUGGUGUAUGGAAAUAUUUUAUGAUUUAUAUGUCAGUCGUGCAGGUUUUAUUUGACCUUAACCUGGUUUUCACGGUUCAUUGCUCAGUGUUAAGUUUUUGUGUUUUGGUCUAUUUUUCUUAAACUAUAAGCAAUAUGUCAACUAUAUUUGUUGUAUGGAAGCAUUGUUAGCUGUACAUGCCUGCCUGGCAUGGUUCAUCUGACCUUGACCUCAUUUUCAUGGUUCAUUGAUCAAUGUUUAGUUUUCAUGGUUAAUGUUAAGUUUAUGUGACAGUCGUAAUAAAGCUUUAUAUUUAGGAGUAUCAACAUAAUAUCAAUGAUAAGAAAAGAAGGUGAGACAUUUCAGUGUGUGCACUCUUGUUUUUCUAUAAAGAUGUGACUUAUCUUAAACAACAUAAUGGUAAAAACACACACUUUUUUUCUUUUCAGGAAGAAGCCUUUAUAAAGAAAAGAAUUGUUGAAGUAAAGAAACUAUCAAAACCAAUGUGCCAAAAACCAUUUUGAAAUUACAUUACAAUAUUAAAGAACAAGGCUGUAUCUUUAAGUUAUCUCUCUUGUGUGUGCAAUAUAAGAUAACAUGACAUUAUUUAAAAUUUGUAGAAAACCUUGAUUUUUCUUGAAGUUAUUUUGAUACUGGUAAUGAUAUAUGUCAAGAAGGUCUGAAUAGGUGCUGUAAUUAUUUACAGAUAUUUAAAGGUGCUACACAAGGGUAUAUGUAAUAGUAGAGAAAAGUGUUGUUCAAAUUUACUAAAGCAAUGCCCAGUUUUAUCCUAAAACAUCAAAACAAUUUUGUCUAAAUUUUCAGUUACAUAAAGAAAAAAUAGUAUAUAGAUUUCUGUAACACACUCUUCAACUCAUUAUUGCAAAAUUCUUAAAAUAAAGUAAUCAGACGUAUUAAAACAGGAUUUUUGACAAUAUUGACUGUUUUAAAACUUGGAUACAUUAUUCCUGGUUCAUAGAAUCAAUUUACACUGUGCUACACAAUUCUGAUUUGAGAAUACACUUCAUUAACAUUCCUUGUCAACAUGUUGUGAUAGUUAUAUACUGCAUCAUUUACCAUAAGACCUUUAUCAUAAGCAGGUUGUCAGCUUUCAUUACAGUUGUUGAUGUGUGAAAGAUUGUAAAAACUUAACCCUUUAAAUGUUUAACUUCAAAAUUAUUAAGUACAUAGAUUAAGUAAUUUUUAAUAAAGAAGACGAUGUAGGAAAUAUUUAUAAUGAGGUUAUAUAUAGCCUUUUUUCUGAACCAGCUAAUAAAAAGAGCUUUUUAUGCAAUGUAUGUCAUUUUAAAAACUUAAUACAAAUUGUAAAACAAAAUAAAUUUUCAAUUGCAGUGUCAUUGUUUUUCCCCUGACAAUUAACAAACUGGUUUGGGCAUUUUUUCCAAUUCUACUGGUGUUACUUUGACCUAAGUUUACAGGUUACAAUCUCAUAAUCAUUUAACAUUAAAUCAAUUUCGUAAUUUCUUUAAACAAAUUUUCUUAGGUAUUAAAUCUCUGAAGUAGUGUAUGUACAUUCAUUUAAUUUGUUUAAUCUGAAGAAUAAACAAAUUUUGUUCUUUAAUAAAUUUGAUAAAAAAUGAUUCUUAUUCUGAUUCAGUUAAUUAAUUGUAAGAAUUAAGAUACACAUUUAAAAUAUAUUUUUAUAAAAAAAAAAAAAAAUAUGCAUACUCAUUAUUAAAAUCCCUAUGCAAUCUGUCAUCUGUCAAUAGUGAUAUCUGGUUUUAAUUAUGCAAUCACACAAUAAUUAAUACCUAAAAUAUGAAAAAAAACAUUUGGUCAUUAGCGUACAUUUUCUUAAAAAUAUUGUAUAUUGUGUUUGAAGAAGCAUUUUUGUCUAGCCUUGCACUAGUCAUAGAGGUGAGACUUGCACAUGAUGUUUGCACUGGUGUUGAUUUGUUAAAACUUGAGAUUAGGUCAGUUGUAGAGGAACCACUAAUAGUUAUCGCUGAUAUUUUGGUUGUAUUAGCAUUUGCACAUUUCAUUUCCAUGGAGAUUAUUUAUCCCUGCCUUGUCAGUUAUGGUCUAUUGACUUUAAAAGUUUAAAAGUACAAUUUUUAGACAAGUUUGUUAUUAAGUUAUUUUAAGGGAAACCAUUAAUGGCAAGUCAAAAAUAUUUAGUAUGUAGUUGUAUAAGCAUCGAAUAUCUAUGGAGAUUAUAUUACCCAGCCCCCUCAGUCACUCUGUUGACUUUGAAAUUUUUGCACAGUUUACAUGUAAAAGUUUGAUUAUGUAAGUUUAGAGGAAACCACUGAUGAUUAAUCAAUGAUAUUUUGUAAUACAGUUGUAUUAUCAUUGGCAUAUCUCAUGCACCCCACAUCAAGGUUCAUAAAUUUUGAAAGUUUUGCAUAGUUUCAUGUUAAAGUGUUGCCACUUUAGUUGAAUUAUUUUAUAUUUAACUAAUAAAAUUACAUGAUGGUGAGAAAUAUAUCUGUGUCAACAGUGUAUUUUAUUUUGUAUAUUUGUAAUUCAAACAUUGUAAUAAAUUUUAAAUUAUUUUGUGAUUUUCUAUGAUUUAAUAUUUGUGUGAUACUCAGUCAGUUGUUUUUCCGAUCAUAUUAAUUCAAUACCUUUAGGAACUAUGAUAAAUUUUGUGUCAUGCACAUUUAUUUCAGAACAUACCAUAUUCAACUUGUUAAAUUGGGAGUGGGAAGGAAUGUCAGUAAAAUUGAGAAUGGAACUGGGGAAUAAAGUGUUGUACAGGGAGCGCUGUGACAUAAUAUUGCAAAAUGUUACUCUUCAAUGAAAUUAAAAGAAAGCAAUUUCUGAUUUAUUGUCUGGAUGACAAUGCAUAUAUAUACAUAGCCCACCUUUAUUGAAGCUGAGUAUGAUAAAAUUAGUCUGUUUUAUGGAGUAUCUAAGAUAAAAAAAAAAACAACAUUUUUCAUCUUGAUAAAUAUUUGUUUACCUGUAUAUUCAUUUCUAUCUUAUUGUGACUUAAUAUGUAAAUUUGAGAAUGGAAAUGGAGAAUGUCUCAAAAAGACAACAACCCAACCUAAGAGCAGAAAACAGAAGAAGGCCUCCAAUGAGUCUUUACCGUAGCGAGAAAANNNNNNNNNNNNNNNNNNNNNNNNNNNNNNNNNNNNNNNNNNNNNNNNNNNNNNNNNNNNNNNNNNNNNNNNNNNNNNNNNNNNNNNNNNNNNNNNNNNNNNNNNNNNNNNNNNNNNNNNNNNNNNNNNNNNNNNNNNNNNNNNNNNNNNNNNNNNNNNNNNNNNNNNNNNNNNNNNNNNNNNNNNNNNNNNNNNNNNNNNNNNNNNNNNNNNNNNNNNNNNNNNNNNNNNNNNNNNNNNNNNNNNNNNNNNNNNNNNNNNNNNNNNNNNNNNNNNNNNNNNNNNNNNNNNNNNNNNNNNNNNNNNNNNNNNNNNNNNNNNNNNNNNNNNNNNNNNNNNNNNNNNNNNNNNNNNNNNNNNNNNNNNNNNNNNNNNNNNNNNNNNNNNNNNNNNNNNNNNNNNNNNNNNNNNNNNNNNNNNNNNNNNNNNNNNNNNNNNNNNNNNNNNNNNNNNNNNNNNNNNNNNNNNNNNNNNNNNNNNNNNNNNNNNNNNNNNNNNNNNNNNNNNNNNNNNNNNNNNNNNNNNNNNNNNNNNNNNNNNNNNNNNNNNNNNNNNNNNNNNNNNNNNNNNNNNNNNNNNNNNNNNNNNNNNNNNNNNNNNNNNNNNNNNNNNNNNNNNNNNNNNNNNNNNNNNNNNNNNNNNNNNNNNNNNNNNNNNNNNNNNNNNNNNNNNNNNNNNNNNNNNNNNNNNNNNNNNNNNNNNNNNNNNNNNNNNNNNNNNNNNNNNNNNNNNNNNNNNNNNNNNNNNNNNNNNNNNNNNNNNNNNNNNNNNNNNNNNNNNNNNNNNNNNNNNNNNNNNNNNNNNNNNNNNNNNNNNNNNNNNNNNNNNNNNNNNNNNNNNNNNNNNNNNNNNNNNNNNNNNNNNNNNNNNNNNNNNNNNNNNNNNNNNNNNNNNNNNNNNNNNNNNNNNNNNNNNNNNNNNNNNNNNNNNNNNNNNNNNNNNNNNNNNNNNNNNNNNNNNNNNNNNNNNNNNNNNNNNNNNNNNNNNNNNNNNNNNNNNNUCAAAAUUAUUAAGUACAUAGAUUAAGUAAUUUUUAAUAAAGAAGACAAAAAUGUAGGAAAUAUUUAUAAUGAGGUUAUAAAUAGCCUUUUUUCUGAACCAGCUAAUAACAAGAAUGUGUCCUCAGUAUACGAAUGCCCCACUCGCA
RNAcentral lists this long non-coding RNA (20070 nucleotides) under Mytilus galloprovincialis (Mediterranean mussel). Lineage: Eukaryota; Metazoa; Mollusca; Bivalvia; Mytilida; Mytilidae. The record is from RNAcentral.